CAGCAGUCGCCACGGUAAUACGAAGGGGGCUAGCGUUGUUCGGAUUUACUGGGCGUAAAGGGCGCGUAGGCGGACUGAUAAGUCAGGGGUGAAAUCCCAAGGCUCAACCUUGGAACUGCCUUUGAUACUGUUUGUCUUGAGUUCGAGAGAGGUAAGUGGAACUGCGAGUGUAGAGGUGAAAUUCGUAGAUAUUCGCAAGAACACCAGUGGCGAAGGCGGCUUACUGGCUCGAAACUGACGCUGAGGCGCGAAAGCGUGGGGAGCAAACAGGAUUAGAUACCCCAGUAGUCCCUGUCUCUUAUAC
Molecule: ribosomal RNA, 304 nt
Filed under: uncultured bacterium
Lineage: Bacteria
Description: partial 16S ribosomal RNA
Rfam family: Bacterial small subunit ribosomal RNA
Source: RNAcentral